AAUAGAUACCCAGGUAGUCCACCCCGUAAACGUUGGGAACUAGUUGUGGGGACCAUUCCACGGUUUCCGUGACGCAGCUAACGCAUUAAGUUCCCCGCCUGGGGAGUACGGCCGCAAGGCUAAAACUCAAAAGGAAUUGACGGGGACCCGCACAAGCGGCGAAGCAUGCGGAUUAAUUCGAUGCAACGCGAAGAACCUUACCAAGGCUUGACAUAUACGAGAACGGGCCAGAAAUGGUCAAACUCUUUGGACACUCGUAAACAGGUGGUGCAUGGUUGUCGUCAGCUCGUGUCGUGAGAUGUUGGGUUAAGUCCCGCAACGAGCGCAACCCUCGUUCUAUGUUGCCAGCACGUAAUGGUGGGAACUCAUGGGAUACUGCCGGGGUCAACUCGGAGGAAGGUGGGGAUGACGUCAAAUCAUCAUGCCCCUUAUGUCUUGGGCUUCACGCAUGCUACAAUGGCCGGUACAAAGGGCUGCAAUACCGUAAGGUGGAGCGAAUCCCAAAAAGCCGGUCCAGUUCGGAUUGAGGUCUGCAACUCGA
Molecule: ribosomal RNA, 541 nt
Filed under: uncultured bacterium
Lineage: Bacteria
Description: bacterial SSU rRNA
Rfam family: Bacterial small subunit ribosomal RNA
Source: RNAcentral